RNAcentral lists this ribosomal RNA (495 nucleotides) under uncultured bacterium. RNAcentral's name for it is "partial 16S ribosomal RNA". It matches the Rfam family "Bacterial small subunit ribosomal RNA", at positions 28 to 507 of the family's 1533-position model. The record is from RNAcentral.
GACGAACGCUGGCGGCGUGCCUAAUACAUGCAAGUAGAACGCUGAAGGAGGAGCUUGCUUCUCUGGAUGAGUUGCGAACGGGUGAGUAACGCGUAGGUAACCUGCCUGGUAGCGGGGGAUAACUAUUGGAAACGAUAGCUAAUACCGCAUAAUAUUGACUAUUGCAUGAUAGUCAGUUGAAAGGUGCAACUGCACCACUACCAGAUGGACCUGCGUUGUAUUAGCUAGUUGGUGGGGUAACGGCUCACCAAGGCGACGAUACAUAGCCGACCUGAGAGGGUGAUCGGCCAAACUGGGACUGAGACACGGCCCAGACUCCUACGGGAGGCAGCAGUAGGGAAUCUUCGGCAAUGGACGGAAGUCUGACCGAGCAACGCCGCGUGAGUGAAGAAGGGUGUCGGAUCGUAAAGCUCUGUUGUAAGGGAAGAACGAGUGUGAGAGUGGAAAGCUCACACUGUGACGGUAUCUUACCAGAAAGGGACGGCUAACUACGUG